UACGUAGGGAGCAAGCGUUGUUCGGAUUUACUGGGCGUAAAGGGCGCGUAGGCGGCCAUCUAAGUCAGACGUGAAAUCCCCAGGCUUAACUUGGGAACUGCGUCUGAUACUGGGAGGCUUGAGUGCGGGAGAGGGAUGUGGAAUUCCAGGUGUAGCGGUGAAAUGCGUAGAUAUCUGGAGGAACACCGGUGGCGAAGGCGGCAUCCUGGACCGACACUGACGCUGAGGCGCGAAAGCUAGGGGAGCAAACGGG
Molecule: ribosomal RNA, 253 nt
Filed under: uncultured bacterium
Lineage: Bacteria
Description: partial 16S ribosomal RNA
Rfam family: Bacterial small subunit ribosomal RNA
Source: RNAcentral